AGGAUUAAUAUUAUAUUUAGGAAUAUUUUAUUCCAACAGUAAGGGAAGGAUUAAGGAUUAAUAUUUUCAGUAAGGGAAUAUUUUAUUUCAACACGUGUCAUUCUUCUCACAUGUGAGUUGUGACUAGCUAUGUGAGUAUUUUAAAAAUAUUCUUCAUGUGGCUCUUCAUAUGAUAAGUCAUUAACAUCGACAUCAUCAUGUGGCUCUUCAUCAUCUUGUGGCUCUUCAUUGACAUCGACUUCAUCGUCGUAAUACAUCUCAUCAUUCUCUUGGUAUAAGCAGUCAUCGUCAUUCCUAAUUGUGAUUGGAUAAAAUCUGAAUGGAAAAAUAACAAAAAUUAAAAAACAGUAAGGGAAAUAGGGAAAAGGAAUUAAGGAUUAAUAUUAUAUUUAGGGAUAUUUUAUUCCAACAACAGUAAGGGAAUGAUUAAGGAUUAAUAUUUUCAGUAAGAGAAUAUUUUAUUUCAACAUAUGUCAUUUUUCUCCAAGCUUUUUCAGGCAGCCAGGCGACCGCAUAUGCUACCUAAUAUGCGACAUUUUUUUUAUUUAUUUUUUUUACUUACAAAAAAGUGAAAAAACCCUUAAAGUAUUUGAUAAAAACCUCCGGCGAGCUUGAAGGAGAGGUCCGGCGAGAUCACAGGAGCUUCGGCGAGGUGAGAAGAGAGGAGGAAGAAAUGGAUUUCCGUUUUUUUUGGCAAGAGGGAGGGUGGCAACGGUUAGAUUUUCAGAUUUAGAGUUUUUUUACUUAUAUAUAGGAUUUUUUAUUUUUUAUUUAAUUGAGUAUUUUUUUAAGGUCUUUAAGUUGUUACAAAAUAAUAUUAUUCAUUACAAUUUUUAAUUUUUUACUUGGGUAAAUGGGUUGGGUGGUCGGAUCUGGCUAAGCCCCAUAAAUAUGCGACCCCCCAAAUAUGCGAUGGGGGGAUUGCGCCUGGUCGCAUAUACGACAAAUCAAAAACCUUGUUCUUCUCACAUGUGAGUUGUGACUAUGUGAGUAUUUUAAAAAUAUUCACAGUAGACAUCAUCAUGUGGCUCUUCAUCAUGUGAUAAGUCAUUGGCAUCGACAUCAUCAUGUGACUCUUCAUCAUGUGAUAAGUCAUUGGCAUCGACAUCAUCAUGUGGCUCUUCAUCAUCUUGUGGCUCUUCAUUGACAUCGACUUCAUCGUCGUAAUACAUCUUAUCAUUCUCUUGGUAUAAAACAUCGUCAUCCCUAAUUGUGAUUGGAUAAAAUCUGAAUGGAAAAGCAACAAAAAUUAAAAAAUAGUAAGAAAAAUAGGGAAAAGGAAUAAGGAAUUAAGGAUUAAUAUUAUAUUUAAGGAUAUUUUAUUUCAACAGUAAGGGAAGGAUUAAAGAUUAAUAUUUUCAGUAAAGGAAUAUUUUAU
This 1378-nucleotide long non-coding RNA is filed under the name Zostera marina. Its description in RNAcentral is "long non-coding RNA (ZMAR_LNC001178)". Lineage: Eukaryota; Viridiplantae; Streptophyta; Magnoliopsida; Alismatales; Zosteraceae. The record is from RNAcentral.